AGAGUUUGAUCAUGGCUCAGGACUAACGCUGGCGGCGUGCCUAACACAUGCAAGUCGAACGCAUCUGUGCUUCGGUACAGAUGAGUGGCGAACGGGUGAGUAACACGUGAGUAACUCCCCUUGGGGAGGGGGAUAACCAUCUGAAAAGGUGGCUAAUACCCCAUAUUCUCCUUUUUUGCCAAAGAAAGGAGGAAAGAUGGCGUAAGCUAUCACCCCGAGAGAGGCUCGCGUCCCAUCAGCUAGUUGGUAGGGUAAUGGCCUACCAAGGCUAUGACGGGUAGCUGGUCUGAGAGGAUGGUCAGCCACACUGGGACUGAGACACGGCCCAGACUCCUACGGGAGGCAGCAGUGAGGAAUCUUGGGCAAUGGGCGAAAGCCUGACCCAGCGACGCCGCGUGGAGGAAGAAGGCCUUCGGGUCGUAAACUCCUGUUCGGGGAGAAGAACAGGAGAGGAGUGAAUAACUUCUCUCCCUGACGGUAUCCCCGGAGAAAGCUCCGGCUAAUUACGUGCCAGCAGCCGCGGUAAUACGUAAGGAGCGAGCGUUGUCCGGAUUUACUGGGCGUAAAGAGCUCGUAGGUGGUUUCUUAGGUCUCACGUGAAAUUCCCUGGCUCAACUGGGGUGGGUCGUGGGAAACCGAGAAGCUAGAGGGCAGGAGAGGAGAGUGGAAUUCCCGGUGUAGCGGUGAAAUGCGUAGAGAUCGGGAGGAACACCAGUGGUGAAGACGGCUCUCUGGACUGUCCCUGACACUGAGGAGCGAAAGCCAGGGGAGCAAACCGGAUUAGAUACCCGGGUAGUCCUGGCCGUAAACGAUGGGUACUAGGUGUGGGGGGGUUCGACCCCCUCCGUGCCGCAGUUUAACGCAUUAAGUACCCCGCCUGGGGAGUACGGCCGCAAGGGUUGAAACUCAAAUGAAUUGACGG
RNAcentral lists this ribosomal RNA (922 nucleotides) under bacterium enrichment culture clone L55B-122. Its description in RNAcentral is "bacterial SSU rRNA". It matches the Rfam family "Bacterial small subunit ribosomal RNA", at positions 8 to 916 of the family's 1533-position model. The record is from RNAcentral.